RNAcentral lists this ribosomal RNA (497 nucleotides) under uncultured bacterium. RNAcentral's name for it is "partial 16S ribosomal RNA". It matches the Rfam family "Bacterial small subunit ribosomal RNA", at positions 28 to 507 of the family's 1533-position model. The record is from RNAcentral.
GAUGAACGCUGGCGGCGUGCCUAAUACAUGCAAGUCGAGCGAACAGACGAGGAGCUUGCUCCUCUGACGUUAGCGGCGGACGGGUGAGUAACACGUGGAUAACCUACCUAUAAGACUGGGAUAACUUCGGGAAACCGGAGCUAAUACCGGAUAAUAUAUUGAACCGCAUGGUUCAAUAGUGAAAGACGGUUUUGCUGUCACUUAUAGAUGGAUCCGCGCCGCAUUAGCUAGUUGGUAAGGUAACGGCUUACCAAGGCAACGAUGGGUAGCCGACCUGAGAGGGUGAUCGGCCACACUGGAACUGAGACACGGUCCAGACUCCUACGGGAGGCAGCAGUAGGGAAUCUUCCGCAAUGGGCGAAAGCCUGACGGAGCAACGCCGCGUGAGUGAUGAAGGUCUUCGGAUCGGAAAACUCUGUUAUUAGGGAAGAACAAAUGUGUAAGUAACUAUGCACGUCUUGACGGUACCUAAUCAGAAAGCCACGGCUAACUACGUG